GAUGAACGCUGGCGGCGUGCCUAAUACAUGCAAGUUGAGCGAUCAGACUUGGUGCUUGCUCCUCUUUGGAUAGCAGCGGACGGGUGAGUAACACGUGGAGAAUCUGCCUUUAAGCCUGGGAUAACUUCUGGAAACCGAUGCUAAUACCGCAUAAUAUCUUUAAACAUAUGUUUUAAUAUUGAAAGAUGGUUUUGCAUUCCCUUAUAAUUAUCCCCCGUCGUAUUAGCUAGUUGGUUAGGUAAAGGCUUACCAAGGCAAUGAUGCAUAGCCGACCUGAGAGGGUGAUCGGCCACAUUGGAACUGAGACACGGUCCAGACUCCUACGGGAGGCAGCAGUAGGGAAUCUUCCGCAAUGGGCGAAAGCCUGACGGAGCAACGCCGCGUGAGUGAAGAAGGUCUUCGGAUCGUAAAACUCUGUUAUUAGGGAAGAACAAAUGUGUAAGUAAAUAUGCAAGUAUUGAAGGUAAAUAAUCAGAAAGCCAAGGCUAAAUAAGUG
Molecule: ribosomal RNA, 496 nt
Filed under: uncultured bacterium
Lineage: Bacteria
Description: partial 16S ribosomal RNA
Rfam family: Bacterial small subunit ribosomal RNA
Source: RNAcentral